AAGAAAUGGAGCAAACAGGUUUAAACAGAAAAAGAAUUAAACGUGAAAAACGAAACAAAAAGUGGAGUAUACUGGAUUUCUUGCAGGAAGCUCCAGAAGUAGACGCACCAACAGCUCAAAUUUUUUAUAAAAAGCUCAUUGAGAGCACAAAAAUAGACGCCACGAGGGAUCUAAUAAGGUGGAAAGUGCGGCACCUGAAGGCUUCAUACAAAAAAGCAAGCGAUUGGCAAAUAUUAACAGGAGCAGGCCCUCCAUGAGUCUGAUGCCGGGACGUCGAGUGUUGAAGGCAAAGUGUUGCAGAUGUGCCCACACUUUAAUCAGCUUAAAUAUAUUUUUGGGAAAAAAGCCACAAGUGAAUUACCUUUUGAAGUGGUUGAUAGUGGCAGUACCUCCAUAAUGAAUGAAAGCGCGGCCAGCCAAAUACUGGAAAUCACUUUUUCUGAUGAAAUUGCGUCUCCAAUUGACAUGCCAAUAUUGAAAAUCUACCACCAGGCAAUGGUAUGCGUAGGCAAAUGUUUAGAACGAAAAUGGAAUGGGAAAAAGAGAAACAUGAAAAAGAUCACGCUUUGAAUGAAAGAAGAUUGCAAGCAGAAAUUGAAAGAGGUAAAGCUGAAAUAAUAUUCAAGAACCGUGAAUUGGACUUAAAAAUCUUUGAAUUGGAAAAGGAUGAAAGAUUGAAAAAACUUCAACUUGAAAAGAAGGAACGCUUACAAAAGUUCGAAAUUGAAAUGAAAUAUAAGUAUUCCUCUCAACAGUAACUUUUCUGUACUUUAUUUAUCUUUAUUUAUUUAUCUCUGUACUUUAUUUAUCUUUGUAUUUUAAAAUAUGUAGUCCCAAUUACUGUUGAGAUGAAUACUUAUUUAAUACGGUUAUUGAUGUUUUACUAAGUAUCUUCUAUCAUUCAAAGCGUUAUCUUUUUCACGCUUGUCUUGUACUAAAUAACCAUUUAUUUU
Molecule: long non-coding RNA, 953 nt
Organism: Bactrocera tryoni
Lineage: Eukaryota; Metazoa; Arthropoda; Insecta; Diptera; Tephritidae
Exons: 3
Source: RefSeq, a predicted model, not a curated record